Bemisia tabaci is the source of this 1442-nucleotide non-coding RNA. NCBI's taxonomy places the organism in Eukaryota, Metazoa, Arthropoda, Insecta, Hemiptera, Aleyrodidae. The record is from RefSeq and is a predicted model, not a curated record.
CGCCCUCUCACUUUCUUCCCGCGAACUUCAAGGAGCGUAUUAGCACCACAAACAGCAAACGGCACUGCUUCUUUCAACUGACGGACUUGUUCUUUGUAGUCUUCAUCUUCAUCACUAUCACAAUCAGGGAGAGGGUGGAGCAUCUCUUUCCUAGUGAGAACGUCUGCUUUGGCGAUCACGGGAACAAUAUUAACCUUGUUGUGCAGCUGUUUCAUGAACUCAACAUCCAAAGGCUUCAAACUGCAACAAAUAAAAAGAAUCUUCAUUACAUACAUAUCAGACACUUGUUACAAGCUUGAAAAAUCACAACACAUUUACAGCAAAAUAGUGAUAGAAAAAAUAGCAUUGUCUCGAUGGGUCAGUUUGGCUUGAUGGAAGAUUCACCUGUGCAAACUUAGAUAUUUCCCAGUUUAAAAAGAAAAAGAAAAAAAAAAAAAAAAAAAAAAACAACGAUAGUUACCAAGAUAUACCUAUGAACUUAGUUGCAAAUCAAAACAAAGAUAUCCCUAUGAACUUAGUUGCAAAUCAAAACAAAGAUAUCCCUAUGAACUUAGUUGCAAAUCAAAACAAACACUUGCUGUAUAACAUCCAAACAAUGGAAAAACAAAUUGGAGCUAUAGGUCUGUUUUCAUGAGCAACGAUCUAGCCACGUUCAAUAAUGGAUCAGGCAAAGGAUAGUCCAAUGUCCUUCAGCAAGAUAAAAGAAAAUGAUAAUUUGAAGAAUGGGGCAGUGGAGAGGAACUUUUGUAGGGUUGUAGUACAGUUUUUCUUCUGUAAAAUUGUGUGAAAAAACCAAAUAGAUCAUUAAUAAGUUCAACAGAGUAUUUCUAAGGGGAGAAAAAGCUAAUCAAAAUUGGACCAAAAACUGACAGACAGAGUUGUCAUUCCUGAAUAUUCGAAUUUUGUUGUAGAUACAGUAAAUCUAGGUUUUGUGUGGCUAUUCAUGUUUACAAUUCAUGACUUACCCAUGUCCAAAAGGAGAGAUGAAAUAGAAACAACAGUGUAUCCGAUUGUCCACAAUGUUUCUUCUAUUUAGACCACUUUCAUCUCGUAAAAAUCUUUCAAACUGAUCAUCUAUGUACUGAAUUAUUGCUCGGAAACUGAAAUACAGAAAAACUUAAAUAUAAGGCACUGAACGUCUAAUCCUUUUCUUCUCAUGAUGACAGAAGGAUGUUAGGGAUACGCUCUGAUUCUUAAAAAUCACAAUGUUUCCCUGCAGCCGAAUUUCUCUUUAUUACACAUGAGUUUUCAUGUGAUAAAUUUGAAAAAGGAAAAAAAAUAAGUCCCCACUGUAUCUAAAAUUGAUUGAUACAUCUAAGAUUGAUUGACAUAUUUAGGUUUGAUGUGUUUAUUUUCAAUAGCAUGUCAUUUUUCAUGAAAGAAAAAAAUGAUCAUUGGAUUUGCAUCAGAAACAACUCAGUAAAACACACAGAUAGAACACA